ACGAACGCUGGCGGCGUGCUUCACCCAUGCCAGUCGCACGGAAAGGCCCUGCUUUUGUGGGGUGCUCGCGUGGCGAACGGGUGAGUAACACGUGAGUAACCUGCCCUUGACUUUGGGAUAACUUCAGGAAACUGGGGCUAAUACCGGAUAGGAGCUCCUGCUGCAUGGUGGGGGUUGGAAAGUUUCGGCGGUUGGGGAUGGACUCGCGGCUUAUCAGCUUGUUGGUGGGGUAGUGGCUUACCAAGGCUUUGACGGGUAGCCGGCCUGAGAGGGUGACCGGCCACAUUGGGACUGAGAUACGGCCCAGACUCCUACGGGAGGCAGCAGUGGGGAAUAUUGCACAAUGGGCGGAAGCCUGAUGCAGCAACGCCGCGUGCGGGAUGACGGCCUUCGGGUUGUAAACCGCUUUCGCCUGUGACGAAGCGUGAGUGACGGUAAUGGGUAAAGAAGCACCGGCUAACUACGUG
RNAcentral lists this ribosomal RNA (467 nucleotides) under uncultured bacterium. Its description in RNAcentral is "partial 16S ribosomal RNA". It matches the Rfam family "Bacterial small subunit ribosomal RNA", at positions 29 to 507 of the family's 1533-position model. The record is from RNAcentral.